Molecule: ribosomal RNA, 253 nt
Filed under: uncultured bacterium
Lineage: Bacteria
Description: partial 16S ribosomal RNA
Rfam family: Bacterial small subunit ribosomal RNA
Source: RNAcentral
UACGUAGGGUGCAAGCGUUGUUCGGAAUUAUUGGGCGUAAAGCGCGUGUAGGCGGCUCGCUAAGUUUGAUGUGAAAGCCCUGGGCUUAACCCAGGAAGUGCAUUGGAUACUGGUGAGCUAGAGUACGGGAGAGGAGGGUAGAAUUCCUGGUGUAGGGGUGAAAUCCGUAGAGAUCAGGAGGAAUACCGGUGGCGAAGGCGACCCUCUGGCCCGUUACUGACGCUGAGACGCGAAAGAGUGGGUAGCAAACAGG